This 483-nucleotide long non-coding RNA is filed under the name Equus caballus (horse). RNAcentral's name for it is "lncRNA (ENSECAG00000051546.1)". The record is from RNAcentral. Lineage: Eukaryota; Metazoa; Chordata; Mammalia; Perissodactyla; Equidae.
GGGGGGGGGGGGGGGGGGGGGGGGGGGGGGGGGGGGGGGGGGGGGGGGGGGGGGGUUCAGGUACAAGAAGCAUGGAAAUGGAGACUUUAACCCCAGGAGUGGGUAGUCACUCCCCACCUCCAUCAUGCUCCUCAGAGGCAGGAAUGGGCUGCUGGGUCAGGCUGGCAAGGCCUCAUCUCAGGAGUCCUGCUCUGAGCCAUUCCAGGCAAGGAGGAAGGCUCCACUGGGCUUCCGCCAUCUGCUAGGAACACUUAUUUUGAACCCCCAGCACUCCCUUCAUCACCAUCAGCUUCAUCACCAGCACCACUUGAAGGCUGGGCAGGGCACUUCACAGAUAAAAACGCACGCAAAGGAUGGAGAGAGAGAAAGCUGGAAGGAGCCUGGGACAUCAUGACAUCAUGGAGCUGUCACAGAAACUCUUUACUGGCUUAUCUAUGGACUUCUUUUAUUUGAAAGAAAAUAAAGCUCUAUCUUAUUAAAUUA